RNAcentral lists this ribosomal RNA (477 nucleotides) under uncultured organism. RNAcentral describes it as "partial 16S ribosomal RNA". It matches the Rfam family "Bacterial small subunit ribosomal RNA", at positions 332 to 800 of the family's 1533-position model. The record is from RNAcentral.
UACACUCCUGCGGGAGGCAGCAGUGGGGAAUUUUGGCCAAUGGGCGAAAGCCUGAUCCAGCAAUGCCGCGUGUGUGAAGAAGGCCUUCGGGUUGUAAAGCACUUUUGUCCGGAAAGAAAUCCUUGGCUCUAAUACAGUCGGGGGAUGACGGUACCGGAAGAAUAAGCACCGGCUAACUACGUGCCAGCAGCCGCGGUAAUACGUAGGGUGCGAGCGUUAAUCGGAAUUACUGGGCGUAAAGCGUGCGCAGGCGGUUUGCUAAGACCGAUGUGAAAUCCCCGGGCUCAACCUGGGAACUGCAUUGGUGACUGGCAGGCUAGAGUAUGGCAGAGGGGGGUAGAAUUCCACGUGUAGCAGUGAAAUGCGUAGAGAUGUGGAGGAAUACCGAUGGCGAAGGCAGCCCCCUGGGCCAAUACUGACGCUCAUGCACGAAAGCGUGGGGAGCAAACAGGAUUAGAAACCCGUGUAGUCCCAUGA